This 356-nucleotide unclassified non-coding RNA is filed under the name soil metagenome. Its description in RNAcentral is "partial contains 5.8S ribosomal RNA, internal transcribed spacer 2, and large subunit ribosomal RNA". The stretch from base 1 to 120 matches the Rfam family "5.8S ribosomal RNA", at positions 35 to 154 of the family's 154-position model. The record is from RNAcentral.
GAUGAAGAACGUAGCAAAAUGCGAUAAGUAAUGUGAAUUGCAGAAUUCAGUGAAUCAUCGAAUCUUUGAACGCACAUUGCGCCCGCCAGCAUCCUGGCGGGCAUGCCUGUCCGAGCGUCAUUUCAACCCUCAGGGCCCGUCCGCGGGACCUGGCGUUGGGGAUCGGCCGCGCCCACAGAGGCCGGCCGGCCCUGAAAUACAGUGGCGGUCUCGCUGUAGCCCUCCUCCGCGUAGUAGCACAACCUCGCGGCCUGGAGCUCGGCGGUGGCCAUGCCGUAAAACACCCCACUUCUGAAAGUUGACCUCGGAUCAGGUAGGAAUACCCGCUGAACUUAAGCAUAUCAAUAAGCGGAGGA